GAUGAACGCUGGCGGCGUGCCUAAUACAUGCAAGUCGAGCGAACGGACGAGAAGCUUGCUUCUCUGAUGUUAGCGGCGGACGGGUGAGUAACACGUGGAUAACCUACCUAUAAGACUGGGAUAACUUCGGGAAACCGGAGCUAAUACCGGAUAAUAUUUUGAACCGCAUGGUUCAAAAGUGAAAGACGGUCUUGCUGUCACUUAUAGAUGGAUCCGCGCUGCAUUAGCUAGUUGGUAAGGUAACGGCUUACCAAGGCAACGAUGCAUAGCCGACCUGAGAGGGUGAUCGGCCACACUGGAACUGAGACACGGUCCAGACUCCUACGGGAGGCAGCAGUAGGGAAUCUUCCGCAAUGGGCGAAAGCCUGACGGAGCAACGCCGCGUGGGUGAUGAAGGUCUUCGGAUCGUAAAACUCUGUUAUUAGGGAAGAACAUAUGUGUAAGUAACUGUGCACAUCUUGACGGUACCUAAUCAGAAAGCCACGGCUAACUACGUGCCAGCAGCCGCGGUAAUACGUAGGUGGCAAGCGUUAUCCGGAAUUAUUGGGCGUAAAGCGCGCGUAGGCGGUUUUUUAAGUCUGAUGUGAAAGCCCACGGCUCAACCGUGGAGGGUCAUUGGAAACUGGAAAACUUGAGUGCAGAAGAGGAAAGUGGAAUUCCAUGUGUAGCGGUGAAAUGCGCAGAGAUAUGGAGGAACACCAGUGGCGAAGGCGACUUUCUGGUCUGUAACUGACGCUGAUGUGCGAAAGCGUGGGGAUCAAACAGGAUUAGAUACCCUGGUAGUCCACGCCGUAAACGAUGAGUGCUAAGUGUUAGGGGGUUUCCGCCCCUUAGUGCUGCAGCUAACGCAUUAAGCACUCCGCCUGGGGAGUACGACCGCAAGGUUGAAACUCAAAGGAAUUGACGGGGACCCGCACAAGCGGUGGAGCAUGUGGUUUAAUUCGAAGCAACGCGAAGAACCUUACCAAAUCUUGACAUCCUUUGACAACUCUAGAGAUAGAGCUUUCCCCUUCGGGGGACAAAGUGACAGGUGGUGCAUGGUUGUCGUCAGCUCGUGUCGUGAGAUGUUGGGUUAAGUCCCGCAACGAGCGCAACCCUUAAGCUUAGUUGCCAUCAUUAAGUUGGGCACUCUAAGUUGACUGCCGGUGACAAACCGGAGGAAGGUGGGGAUGACGUCAAAUCAUCAUGCCCCUUAUGAUUUGGGCUACACACGUGCUACAAUGGACAAUACAAAGGGCAGCGAAACCGCGAGGUCAAGCAAAUCCCAUAAAGUUGUUCUCAGUUCGGAUUGUAGUCUGCAACUCGACUACAUGAAGCUGGAAUCGCUAGUAAUCGUAGAUCAGCAUGCUACGGUGAAUACGUUCCCGGGUCU
This 1372-nucleotide ribosomal RNA is filed under the name uncultured bacterium. Its description in RNAcentral is "bacterial SSU rRNA". It matches the Rfam family "Bacterial small subunit ribosomal RNA", at positions 28 to 1381 of the family's 1533-position model. The record is from RNAcentral.